AGCAGAGCCUAAGUCACAGUAGCCCUGACUACAGCAUUCCUGGAGCCCAGGCUCUUUUCCACAGAGGAGGAAAGAGCAGGCAGCAGAGACCAUGGGGCCCCCCUCAGCCUCUCCCCACAGAGAAUGCAUCCCCUGGCAGGGGCUUCUGCUCACAGCCUCACUUCUAAACUUCUGGAACCCGCCCACCACUGCCAAGCUCACUAUUGAAUCCAUGCCGCUCAGUGUCGCAGAGGGGAAGGAGGUGCUUCUACUUGUCCACAAUCUGCCCCAGCAUCUUUUUGGCUACAGCUGGUACAAAGGGGAAAGAGUGGAUGGCAACAGUCUAAUUGUAGGAUAUGUAAUAGGAACUCAACAAGCUACCCCAGGGGCCGCAUACAGCGGUCGAGAGACAAUAUACACCAAUGCAUCCCUGCUGAUCCAGAAUGUCACCCAGAAUGACAUAGGAUUCUACACCCUACAAGUCAUAAAGUCAGAUCUUGUGAAUGAAGAAGCAACUGGACAGUUCCAUGUAUACCCGGAGCUGCCCAAGCCCUCCAUCUCCAGCAACAACUCCAACCCCAAGGAGGACAAGGAUGCUGUGGCCUUCACCUGUGAACCUGAGAUUCACAGCACAACCUGCCUGUAGUGGGUAAAUGGUCAGAGCCUCCCGGUCAGUUCCAGGCUGCAGCUGUCCAAUGACAAGAGGACCCUCACUCUACUCAGUGUCACAAGGAAUGACACAGGACCCUAUGAGUGUGAAAUACCGAACCCAGUGGGUGCCAGCUACAGUGACCCAGUCACGCUGAAUGUCCUCUGUAUCUUCUGUUCCUCUGUGGCCCAGGCUUCCAGCCCAAAUCCACACAGCCAGAGGCCAGGCCUCUCAGUCCCUCUCAAGUCCAGGGACUCAGACUCUCACCCAGGCUGGCCAUCACUUCCUGUCCCAAGCAAACCUGGGCAGACCCAGCCUUGACCAAGAAUAGGAGGGGAGAGGCUGCUCCUGUCCUGGGAGGCUCAGGGUCCACAGCCUGUGAUGGGAGAAACAGAAAAUGCCCCAGGCCUUCCUGUGGGGGCCGUCGCCGGCAUCGUGACCGGGGUCCUGGUCGGAGUGGCGCUGGUGGCCGCGCUGGUGUGUUUCCUGCUCCUUGCCAAAACUGGAAGAACCAGCAUCCAGCGUGACCUCAAGGAGCAGCAGCCCCAAGCCCUUGCCCCUGGCCGUGGUCCCUCCCACAGCUCUGCCUUCUCGAUGUCCCCUCUCUCCACUGCCCAGGCCCCCCUACCCAACCCCAGGACAGCAGCUUCCAUCUAUGAGGAAUUGCUAAAACAUGACACAAACAUUUACUGCCGGAUGGACCACAAAGCAGAAGUGGCUUCUUAGCUUCCUCCAGGAGCUGCUCCUGUGUGUUGAUGGAGAGUCCCCAAGGCCCCCAGCCCUGGGGAUGGGGAAGGACAUGAAGCCUGAGCCAGAGAACCAGCUAUAAGUCCUGAGAAGACACUGGUGUCUGGGGGCAGGGAGGGAUGGGGGUCCCUGAUGAAUAUCUGGAGACCUCGACAGCCUGCCCUAGGCCCUGGGUGGGUCAGGACAAAGGCCUCUCAUCACCGCAGAAAGCGGGGGCUUGCAGGGAAAGUGAAUGGGCCUGUGGCCCACCUGGGGUCACUUGGAAAGGAUCUGAAUAAAGGGGACCCUUCCUCUCA
Homo sapiens (human) is the source of this 1671-nucleotide RNA transcript. It is a transcript of the gene named CEA cell adhesion molecule 3, with no coding region annotated. The record is from RefSeq and is marked reviewed. The transcript has 8 exons. Lineage: Eukaryota; Metazoa; Chordata; Mammalia; Primates; Hominidae.